RNAcentral lists this microRNA (23 nucleotides) under Eisenia fetida (common brandling worm). RNAcentral describes it as "Efe-Mir-317-P6_3p (mature (guide))". The record is from RNAcentral. Lineage: Eukaryota; Metazoa; Annelida; Clitellata; Crassiclitellata; Lumbricidae.
UGAACACAACAGGUGGUAUCUAG